AAUCCGUCGACUUUAGAAAUCGUGAGGGUUCAAGUCCC
Molecule: transfer RNA, 38 nt
Filed under: Sanguisorba minor
Lineage: Eukaryota; Viridiplantae; Streptophyta; Magnoliopsida; Rosales; Rosaceae
Also listed under: 1 other name
Description: partial tRNA-Leu
Source: RNAcentral